RNAcentral lists this ribosomal RNA (799 nucleotides) under uncultured bacterium. RNAcentral describes it as "bacterial SSU rRNA". It matches the Rfam family "Bacterial small subunit ribosomal RNA", at positions 97 to 893 of the family's 1533-position model. The record is from RNAcentral.
GGCGAACGGGUGAGGAAUACAUGGGUAACCUACCCUCGAGUGGGGAAUAACUAGCCGAAAGGUUAGCUAAUACCGCGUACGCUCCUGGGACUUCGGUUCAGGGAGGAAAGCGAUACCGUGGGUAUCGCGCUCUUGGAUGGGCUCAUGUCCUAUCAGCUUGUUGGUGAGGUAACGGCUCACCAAGGCUUCGACGGGUAGCUGGUCUGAGAGGACGAUCAGCCACACUGGCACUGCGACACGGGCCAGACUCCUACGGGAGGCAGCAGUAAGGAAUAUUGCGCAAUGGGCGAAAGCCUGACGCAGCGACGCCGCGUGGGGGAUGAAGGUCUUCGGAUUGUAAACCCCUUUCGGGAGGGAAGAUGGAACGAGCAAUCGUUCGGACGGUACCUCCAGAAGCAGCCACGGCUAACUUCGUGCCAGCAGCCGCGGUAAUACGAAGGUGGCAAGCGUUGUUCGGAUUUACUGGGCGUACAGGGAGCGUAGGCGGUUCGGUAAGCCCUUUGUGAAAUCUCCAGGCUUAACCUGGAACAGUCGGAGGGGACUGCUGGGCUAGAGGACGGGAGAGGAGCGCGGAAUUCCCGGUGUAGCGGUGAAAUGCGUAGAGAUCGGGAGGAAGGCCGGUGGCGAAGGCGGCGCUCUGGAACGUUUCUGACGCUGAGGCUCGAAAGCGUGGGGAGCAAACAGGAUUAGAUACCCUGGUAGUCCACGCCUUAAACUAUGAAUACUAAGUGUCGGCGGGUUACCGCCGGUGCCGCAGCUAACGCAUUAAGUAUUCCGCCUGGGAAGUACGGCCGCAAGG